This 1341-nucleotide ribosomal RNA is filed under the name uncultured bacterium. RNAcentral describes it as "bacterial SSU rRNA". It matches the Rfam family "Bacterial small subunit ribosomal RNA", at positions 28 to 1381 of the family's 1533-position model. The record is from RNAcentral.
GACGAACGCUGGCGGCGUGCUUAACACAUGCAAGUCGAACGAUGAAGCUCUAGCUUGCUGGGGUGGAUUAGUGGCGAACGGGUGAGUAACACGUGAGUAACCUGCCCUUUACUUCGGGAUAAGCUUGGGAAACUGGGUCUAAUACCGGAUAUUCUGCGUGAUCGGAUGGUUGUGUAGGAAAGAUUUUUUGGUAAGGGAUGGGCUCGCGGCUUAUCAGUUUGUUGGUGGGGUGAUGGCCUACCAAGACGACGACGGGUAGCCGGCCUGAGAGGGCGACCGGCCACACUGGGACUGAGACACGGCCCAGACUCCUACGGGAGGCAGCAGUGGGGAAUAUUGCACAAUGGGGGAAACCCUGAUGCAGCGACGCCGCGUGGGGGAUGACGGCCUUCGGGUUGUAAACCUCUUUCAGUAGGGAAGAAGCGAAAGUGACGGUACCUGCAGAAGAAGUACCGGCUAACUACGUGCCAGCAGCCGCGGUAAUACGUAGGGUACUAGCGUUGUCCGGAAUUAUUGGGCGUAAAGAGCUCGUAGGUGGUUUGUCGCGUCUGCUGUGGAAACGUGCCGCUUAACGGUGCGCGUGCAGUGGGUACGGGCGGACUAGAGUGCAGUAGGGGAGUCUGGAAUUCCUGGUGUAGCGGUGAAAUGCGCAGAUAUCAGGAGGAACACCGGUGGCGAAGGCGGGACUCUGGGCUGUUACUGACGCUGAGGAGCGAAAGCAUGGGGAGCGAACAGGAUUAGAUACCCUGGUAGUCCAUGCCGUAAACGUUGGGCACUAGGUGUGGGGUCCAUUCCACGGAUUCUGCGCCGUAGCUAACGCAUUAAGUGCCCCGCCUGGGGAGUACGGCCGCAAGGCUAAAACUCAAAGGAAUUGACGGGGGCCCGCACAAGCGGCGGAGCAUGCGGAUUAAUUCGAUGCAACGCGAAGAACCUUACCAAGGCUUGACAUGCACUAGACCAUCGCAGAGAUGUGGUUUUCUUUUUGACUGGUGUACAGGUGGUGCAUGGUUGUCGUCAGCUCGUGUCGUGAGAUGUUGGGUUAAGUCCCGCAACGAGCGCAACCCUCGUUCUAUGUUGCCAGCACGUGAUGGUGGGAACUCAUGGAGACUGCCGGGGUCAACUCGGAGGAAGGUGGGGAUGACGUCAAAUCAUCAUGCCCUUUAUGUCUUGGGCUUCACGCAUGCUACAAUGGCCGGUACAGAGGGUGGUGAUACCGUGAGGUGGAGCGAAUCUCUUAAAGCCGGUCUCAGUUCGGAUCGUAGUCUGCAACUCGACUACGUGAAGUCGGAGUCGCUAGUAAUCGCAGAUCAGCAAUGCUGCGGUGAAUACGUUCCCGGGCCU